This 19-nucleotide microRNA is filed under the name Spodoptera frugiperda (fall armyworm). RNAcentral's name for it is "sfr-miR-10484-3p". The record is from miRBase by way of RNAcentral. Lineage: Eukaryota; Metazoa; Arthropoda; Insecta; Lepidoptera; Noctuidae.
CUGGCGGGCUUUCUGCCCU